GAGUUUGAUCGUGGCUCAGAUUGAACGCUGGCGGCAUGCCUUACACAUGCAAGUCGAACGGCAGCACGGGAGCUUGCUCCUGGUGGGCGAGUGGCGAACGGGUGAGUAAUGCAUCGGAACGUAUCCUGGAGUGGGGGAUAACGUAGCGAAAGUUACGCUAAUACCGCAUAUUCUGUGAGCAGGAAAGCGGGGGACCUUCGGGCCUCGCGCUCUUGGAGCGGCCGAUGUCGGAUUAGCUAGUUGGUGAGGUAAAGGCUCACCAAGGCGACGAUCCGUAGCAGGUCUGAGAGGAUGAUCUGCCACACUGGAACUGAGACACGGUCCAGACUCCUACGGGAGGCAGCAGUGGGGAAUUUUGGACAAUGGGGGCAACCCUGAUCCAGCCAUGCCGCGUGAGUGAAGAAGGCC
This 408-nucleotide ribosomal RNA is filed under the name bacterium enrichment culture clone ALO1_GLFRUDD03FPH1J. RNAcentral describes it as "bacterial SSU rRNA". It matches the Rfam family "Bacterial small subunit ribosomal RNA", at positions 9 to 416 of the family's 1533-position model. RNAcentral also lists the same sequence under 4 other names. The record is from RNAcentral.